UAAACAGCUAUUCACUAGUUUCCACAC
Molecule: unclassified non-coding RNA, 27 nt
Filed under: Mus musculus (house mouse)
Lineage: Eukaryota; Metazoa; Chordata; Mammalia; Rodentia; Muridae
Description: oocyte_clustered_small_RNA4575
Source: RNAcentral